GACGAACGCUGGCGGCGUGCUUAACACAUGCAAGUCGAACGGAAAGGCCCUGCUUUUGUGGGGUGCUCGAGUGGCGAACGGGUGAGUAACACGUGAGUAACCUGCCCUUGACUUUGGGAUAACUUCAGGAAACUGGGGCUAAUACCGGAUAGGAACUCCUGCUGCAUGGUGGGGGUUGGAAAGUUUCGGCGGUUGGGGAUGGACUCGCGGCUUAUCAGCUUGUUGGUGGGGUAGUGGCUUACCAAGGCUUUGACGGGUAGCCGGCCUGAGAGGGUGACCGGCCAGAAUGGGACUGAGAUACGGCCCAGACUCCUGCGGGAGGCAGCAGUGGGGAAUAUUGCACAAUGGGCGGAAGCCUGAUGCAGCAACGCCGCGUGCGGGAUGACGGCCUUCGGGUUGUAAACCGCUUUCGCCUGUGACGAAGCGUGAGUGACGGUAAUGGGUAAAGAAGCACCGGCUAACUACGUG
This 468-nucleotide ribosomal RNA is filed under the name uncultured bacterium. Its description in RNAcentral is "partial 16S ribosomal RNA". It matches the Rfam family "Bacterial small subunit ribosomal RNA", at positions 28 to 507 of the family's 1533-position model. The record is from RNAcentral.